UUGCUCUUCAACGAGGAAUGCCUAGUAAGCGCGUGUCAUCAGCAUGCGUUGAUUACGUCCCUGACCUUUGUACACACCGCCCGUCGCUACUACCGAUUGAAUGGCUCAGUGAGGCGUUCGGACUGGCUCGGGGAGGUUGGCAACGACCACCCCAAGCCGGAAAGUUCGUCAAACUCGGUCAUUUAGAGGAAGUAAAAGUCGUAACAAGGUCUCCGUAGGUGAACCUGCGGGGGGAUCAUUACACAAUAAAAUAUGAAGGCUGUACGCGGCUGUGCUCUCGGGCCAGUUUUGCGGAGGCUGAAUUAUUUAUUACCCUUGUCUUUUGCGCACUUGUUGUUUCCUGGGCGGGUUCGCCCGCCACCAGGACCACAUCAUAAACCUUUUUUAUGCAGUUGCAAUCAGCGUCAGUAUAACAAAUGUAAAUCAUUUACAACUUUCAACAACGGAUCUCUUGGUUCUGGCAUCGAUGAAGAACGCAGCGAAAUGCGAUACGUAGUGUGAAUUGCAGAAUUCAGUGAAUCAUCGAAUCUUUGAACGCACAUUGCGCCCGCCAGUAUUCUGGCGGGCAUGCCUGUCCGAGCGUCAUUUCAACCCAUCAAGCCCAGCGCUUGUGUUGGAGCCCUGCGGCCGCCGCAGGCUCCCAAAAUUAGUGGCGGGCUCGCUAUCACGCUGAGUGCAGUAGUAUUCUUCUCACUCCUGCGGUGUAGCGGGUAACCAGCCGUAAAACCCUUUUACCUAAAGUUGACCUCGGAUCAGGUAAGAAUACCCGCUGAACUUAAGCAUAUCAAUAAGCGGAGGA
This 799-nucleotide ribosomal RNA is filed under the name uncultured fungus. RNAcentral's name for it is "eukaryotic LSU rRNA". The stretch from base 1 to 241 matches the Rfam family "Eukaryotic small subunit ribosomal RNA", at positions 1593 to 1831 of the family's 1831-position model. The record is from RNAcentral. Lineage: Eukaryota; Fungi.